AGAUUCCCCCAGUAGCGGCGAGCGAACGGGGAGCAGCCCAGGACCUGAAUCAGCUUGUGCAUCAGUGGAAGCGUCUGGAAAGUCGCGCGAUACCGGGUGACAGCCCCGUACACGAAGAUGCAUGAGUUGUGAGUCCGACGAGUAGGGCGGGACACGUGGUAUCCUGUCUGAAUAUGGGGGGACCAUCCUCCAAGGCUAAAUAC
RNAcentral lists this ribosomal RNA (203 nucleotides) under Bacillus wiedmannii. RNAcentral's name for it is "partial 23S ribosomal RNA". It matches the Rfam family "Bacterial large subunit ribosomal RNA", at positions 232 to 473 of the family's 2925-position model. The record is from RNAcentral. Lineage: Bacteria; Bacillati; Bacillota; Bacilli; Caryophanales; Bacillaceae.